AUUGAACGCUGGCGGCAUGCUUUACACAUGCAAGUCGGACGGCAGCGGGGUAGUGCUUGCACUACUGCCGGCGAGUGGCGAACGGGUGAGUAAUAUAUUGGAACGUACCGAGUAAUGGGGGAUAACCAAUCGAAAGAUUGGCUAAUACCGCAUACGCUCUGAGGAGGAAAGCAGGGGACCUUCGGGCCUUGCGUUAUUCGAGCGGCCAAUAUCUGAUUAGCUAGUUGGUGGGGUAAAGGCCUACCAAGGCGACGAUCAGUAGCGGGUCUGAGAGGAUGAUCCGCCACACUGGGACUGAGACACGGCCCAGACUCCUACGGGAGGCAGCAGUGGGGAAUUUUGGACAAUGGGCGCAAGCCUGAUCCAGCCAUGCCGCGUGUCUGAAGAAGGCCUUCGGGUUGUAAAGGACUUUUGUUAGGGAAGAAAAAGGAGCGGUUAAUACCCGUUUCUGCUG
This 454-nucleotide ribosomal RNA is filed under the name Neisseria elongata. RNAcentral describes it as "bacterial SSU rRNA". It matches the Rfam family "Bacterial small subunit ribosomal RNA", at positions 30 to 473 of the family's 1533-position model. The record is from RNAcentral. Lineage: Bacteria; Pseudomonadati; Pseudomonadota; Betaproteobacteria; Neisseriales; Neisseriaceae.